RNAcentral lists this ribosomal RNA (393 nucleotides) under Clostridioides difficile. Its description in RNAcentral is "bacterial SSU rRNA". It matches the Rfam family "Bacterial small subunit ribosomal RNA", at positions 1 to 401 of the family's 1533-position model. The record is from RNAcentral. Lineage: Bacteria; Bacillati; Bacillota; Clostridia; Peptostreptococcales; Peptostreptococcaceae.
UUUUAUUUGAGAGUUUGAUCCUGGCUCAGGAUGAACGCUGGCGGCGUGCCUAACACAUGCAAGUUGAGCGAUUUACUUCGGUAAAGAGCGGCGGACGGGUGAGUAACGCGUGGGUAACCUACCCUGUACACACGGAUAACAUACCGAAAGGUAUGCUAAUACGGGAUAAUAUAUUUGAGAGGCAUCUCUUGAAUAUCAAAGGUGAGCCAGUACAGGAUGGACCCGCGUCUGAUUAGCUAGUUGGUAAGGUAACGGCUUACCAAGGCAACGAUCAGUAGCCGACCUGAGAGGGUGAUCGGCCACAUUGGAACUGAGACACGGUCCAAACUCCUACGGGAGGCAGCAGUGGGGAAUAUUGCACAAUGGGCGAAAGCCUGAUGCAGCAACGCCGCG